UCGCUCAACGGAUAAAAGGUACUCCGGGGAUAACAGGCUGAUACCGCCCAAGAGUUCAUAUCGACGGCGGUGUUUGGCACCUCGAUGUCGGCUCAUCACAUCCUGGGGCUGAAGUAGGUCCCAAGGGUAUGGCUGUUCGCCAUUUAAAGUGGUACGCGAGCUGGGUUUAGAACGUCGUGAGACAGUUCGGUCCCUAUCUGCCGUGGGCGCUGGAGAAUUGAGGGGGGCUGCUCCUAGUACGAGAGGACCGGAGUGGACGCAUCACUGGUGUUCGGGUUGUCAUGCCAAUGGCACUGCCCGGUAGCUAAAUGCGGAAGAGAUAAGUGCUGAAAGCAUCUAAGCACGAAACUUGCCCCGAGAUGAGUUCUCCCUGAGACU
Molecule: ribosomal RNA, 378 nt
Filed under: Klebsiella pneumoniae
Lineage: Bacteria; Pseudomonadati; Pseudomonadota; Gammaproteobacteria; Enterobacterales; Enterobacteriaceae
Description: partial 23S ribosomal RNA
Rfam family: Bacterial large subunit ribosomal RNA
Source: RNAcentral